ACUUUAAGGAUGCAUUUGUCUAUCACACAUACAUUGUUCAUAAACACUUCAUUUUUAGGGGCCUAAAAUAUACAUUUUUCAUUAUAGUUUAUGAGAUAAAAUCAAGUAAACAGAGGUUAAAGGAAGUGCAUUCCUGUUGUGUCUAUUUUUCUCCUGCGCCCCCCUCCUUUUUUUUUUUUUUUUUUGAUUUUACUUGUAUUUAAAACUGAAUGUAGCUCUCUACUUUUCUUCACAGAGAUGAAAAGGAUUUUUGACUUAUGCACAAAGAUUUCAAGCAGAAGUGCUCGUGGGUAUACUUUCAGUCAGCUCCUGCUGAUGAAAGAAUGCUCUACCUGACAGAUAAGGAAAAGUCUUCUGGAGCCCAGCUAUCCAACACAGUCACUUGAUUUUCUACUAUUACCCUAGACAGUGUUCUAAGUACUCUGAGGAGAAUUUCAACAAGGUAUCAAAUGAUUUGAAAACAUUAGGUUAUUUAGAUAGCCUCUGAGCUGCUAUUUUUCUAUGCCAACUGACUUCAUAUUUCUUCGACAUUGAUGUUAAUUGUGUUAGCUAUCUAAUCAUAGUCAGCAAAGACUAAUGCCAAAAAAAUAUAAACCACUUCAGAUUUGUUGGCAACAUCUGUCAUUAGCCUUCCCUCUCC
Molecule: long non-coding RNA, 640 nt
Filed under: Anas platyrhynchos platyrhynchos (common mallard)
Lineage: Eukaryota; Metazoa; Chordata; Aves; Anseriformes; Anatidae
Description: lncRNA (ENSAPLG00000024357.1)
Source: RNAcentral